RNAcentral lists this ribosomal RNA (253 nucleotides) under uncultured bacterium. RNAcentral's name for it is "partial 16S ribosomal RNA". It matches the Rfam family "Bacterial small subunit ribosomal RNA", at positions 524 to 776 of the family's 1533-position model. The record is from RNAcentral.
UACGGAGGGAGCUAGCGUUGUUCGGAAUUACUGGGCGUAAAGCGCACGUAGGCGGCUUUGUAAGUUAGAGGUGAAAGCCCGGAGCUCAACUCCGGAACUGCCUUUAAGACUGCAUCGCUUGAAUCCAGGAGAGGUGAGUGGAAUUCCCAGUGUAGCGGUGAAAUGCGUAGAUAUUGGGAGGAACACCAGUGGCGAAGGCGGCUCACUGGACCGGAACUGACGCUGAGGAGCGAAAGCGUGGGGAGCGAACAGG